This 68-nucleotide transfer RNA is filed under the name Charinus ferreus. Its description in RNAcentral is "tRNA-Asp". The record is from RNAcentral. Lineage: Eukaryota; Metazoa; Arthropoda; Arachnida; Amblypygi; Charinidae.
AAAAAGCUAGUUAACAAUUAUAACAUAAAACUGUCAGUUUUAAAUUAUCUCCACUCCGAUGCUUUUUA